CCAAAGGCUCUUUUCAGAGCCACCCAACAGUUCAAAAUUGAGCUAU
This is a non-coding RNA of Mus musculus (house mouse), 46 nucleotides long. NCBI's taxonomy places the organism in Eukaryota, Metazoa, Chordata, Mammalia, Rodentia, Muridae. The record is from Rfam.